Molecule: non-coding RNA, 420 nt
Organism: Oncorhynchus masou masou (cherry salmon)
Lineage: Eukaryota; Metazoa; Chordata; Actinopteri; Salmoniformes; Salmonidae
Source: the annotation of a RefSeq genome assembly
AUGGGUUCCGGUGGAGCCAGCGAUGAUAAAGGUGGGGACUCGGAGCUGGGACUGAUAGGGGCUAGGAGGUCUGACGGUGUUCAUGGUCAGACACUGACUGAGUCUGGACCAGUGGUUAGAAAGCCUGGAGAAUCACACAAACUGACCUGUACAGCCUCUGGGUUCACAUUCAGUAGCUACUGGAUGGCUUGGAUCAGACAGGCUCCUGGGAAAGGACUGGAGUGGGUGUCCUAUGUCAGCAGUAGUGGUGGCAGCACGUACUACUCCCAGUCUGUUCAGGGUCGGUUCACCAUCUCCAGAGACAACAGCAAGCAGCAGGUGUAUCUCCAGAUGAACAGCUUGAAGACUGAAGACUCUGCUGUUUAUUAUUGUGCCAGAGACACAGUGACACAGGAGGCUGCAGCGCUGUACAAAAACUGA